Molecule: long non-coding RNA, 3891 nt
Organism: Bombus huntii
Lineage: Eukaryota; Metazoa; Arthropoda; Insecta; Hymenoptera; Apidae
Exons: 2
Source: RefSeq, a predicted model, not a curated record
CGAUCAAAUCGUUUCUGUUUCAUUUUUUUUUCCUAUAAAUGCGUUUGUUAUUGGUAUUUACAGUAGAUAAUUUUACAAUCGGACGUAUUAACCUAUUAACCGGAUCGUCUUUAAACGAAAAAUUACAAUUUUAAAGAUAAAAAUUAAUAAAGAUAAAUUUUAUUUUCAUUGAUGUUAAUUUUAGUUCUUGCAGACGUACAUAUGGCAGAAUUUAUUUUUAACGAAAACAAAGCCACGCGUGAAAGAAUAAAGGAACUUCAAAAAUGAAGAAAUUACGAUGUCCACGAAAAUUAUUUGUUACGUCCAAAGAAAUUAUCAACCAAAAUGACGAGUUAACUCGUCUGUAUUUUAGAUCUGUAUGAAUUAUCAUUAUUUAAUUAUUUGAGGAUGUAAUGCAAUUAUGAAAAAUUCAAAAUAAACAUACAAAAACGAUCUAUAAAAUAAUCACACCUUUAUCUUUGAGAUCUCCUACGUUGUUGGUAUCGAAUACAAUAAGUAUAUAUACUUCUAACAUUUUGUAAAUAAAUAUUAAUAAUUCUGUUACGUAUGAUAACAUUUACAAUUAUGGAUCUUUUUUGGAAUUAAAAUCAAAUAUAAAAGUAGGUAUUUGUAUAGCAUAAUUGAGAUCAUCUAUAAACUCAAGAUUUUGGAAAUAACUAAAUUCCUAUAUUUACCUAUAAUUUUAGACCCCUGAAAAUAAUUAGUAUCGUGAUUAGUAACUCGCCACAAGCAAUUUGUGUGGGUAUUAAACUUCCCUUUAAUUAAAGUAUCUAUUCCAUAGGCUUUAAGGCAGAUUUGCUUCGAUAAAUCCUUCAAUUUUCGGAACUGUAAUAUUUUAUGCAAAUUUCGAAAGAAUUUAUGACAAACGAUCGAACAUUCAUAAUAGUAUACAGGGUGCCCCAGUUAUUUGGGGCCAAACGUUGUUAGCACAGCCUCUUAAGUCAAGAUAAGGAGAAAACAUCACAUAAAUAUAUGUUAUUAGAAACAUCGUUAAAAGAGUUGCCGCAACGAGAUAGUAAUAAAGAGGCAAAACAAAGUUCGCUUUUUGACUGUUUGGUAGAUAAAUCGAUGGGCUUAUAAGGUGACGUUAAUAAACAGCACGAUAGAAAAGCUCGUAAAUUUUGUCAAAUCGCGCCGGGGCCAUUUACCUUCAUUUCCGACUUUUUAACGUUUCGAUCUUCUCUAUCUUCUCUGCUUACAGUCGACAUAUUUUUCAUGAAAAAGGUAGACUCAAAUAAUUAAUCAUUAAUUCUCGUGAUUUAUUAAUUAUCUGUGAAAUCUUUUAUUCAACAAAUAAUUCGAAGGAAGUAACAACAUACUGCUAAUUUAAUUGCUUGCUCUGUUAAAGAGUGGAUUCUCCCACGACCAUUUUAUUUGAAAGAAAAUCUACAAGUAUCUUAGUUUCAUUCACUUUUUUAUUAUUUGCGCCGGUAAAUCACUAGCUCUUCGUUCACCGGAAGUUCCUUUUCAAAUAAAGAGAGUUCUAUGGCGAGCAGACAGAAGUAAAUGUCUAGAUUCCUUGAAUAACUGAAUAUAUAUUAGAUUCACGUCUGUGCACUUCUACCUUUUCGAAAGUGAUCGAUUCAGUCCGAUUCAAUGGACUGUUAAGCGUUCGAAAGAUCCUGUCUAAUUCAAAUACUUGAAUACUAAUGAACCAUAAAGAUGUUCAGAAUUGUUUGUAAUUAGAUAAGCGUUGUACUGAAUUAACGCAUAAUAUGAAAUAUCGUUUUCCUAAAUUAAAACGUUAAUGUCAUCUAACAGGUACAUUAGAGAACGUAACAUAUUUAAUCUGAUAUUGACUUCGUAAGUAAAUGAUAAGAUAAAUAAUAUGAUUUUAUAAAUGAACCUAAUCUAAAUACAUAUAUUUGAUCGUAUAUUUCUCAUAUAAUUUUACGAUUGUUUCUUUAAUAAUAAACAACAUUCAUUGCUCCAGAUUUCGUAGAAACAUCUGUUCUAGAAUGAAAAAGUUAUUAAAAAAUAUUGUUUCGAUAAUUUGGUUACUUCGAAAGAAUUUAUUUGUUCAAAAAUUGUUUAAGUUUUCAAACAAGAGAAUCAGGAAGGAUUGGAAGAAUAUUUUAAUAAAGAUUCCGAUGUUUUAAUCUUCGGAAUUGUGUAGCCAUUUUGAGACACAAAAUACAACUUGGUUGCUUCCCUAAUGAAAAGUCGCCAACCUUGAAUUUCAUGAACCUAACCUGAAUUAUUCUAAUAUUUACAUAAACACACUUACGUAAAGUUGAGAAUGUACGUAUGCUUUCAAUAUGUUUUACAAUAUUUUCACCAAGCUUAAACUCAUAUUUAUAAAUCACGCGAAUAUUCUGAUUAUUCAUAACUGUUAAUAACGAGGUUCUAACAUUUUUAUGAUGAAUUUCGUUGAUAUAAACCGUGUAUUAUAGCUCGUUUCUCGUUCCUUAAUACGAACGACGUUCAAAUAAAACAAUCGACAGCGAAAUAAAGUUUAGUUAAUGGUAUUGGCACAAAUUCAAAUGUUCGAAUUGAAAUUCACAUUGAAAUUCGAGAACGACAUUUUUCAUGCAUAUAUGCAGCAAUUUAAUAUUUUUAUAAUGAUAAUGCACCGUAUCUACAUCUAAACUGCAUUGUAUAAGAAAACAUAUUCUUCCAGAUAAGAUCUCUUCGGAUAGGAAACAGUAUACAGUUUAUGACAAGAUGUUUCGAAUCGGUGAUCCGUAAAAUAACAGAUUUUGGUAAAAAAGGAAAUCGCCUCCACGUGUAAAUUAUUUAUGGGAGAUCAGAGGUUAGAAUACGAUAUUGUUUUUAACCAAAAAACAAUAUAUAGAACAUACGGGUUGUAUAAUUACGAGAUACACAAUUCAUACAAUUACGAAAGAGGAUUUAAGUUUUUGUUUAUAAGUUGAUUCUAUUGUAUACUCUACCCAAGUGUGUAAUAUUAAAUAAAUUAAAAAAUAAUUUAAAUUACCUCAAAAUAGCUACGAUUUUGAAAGAAUAAAUGAUGAGAAAUAAAAUGAACGUUUUGAAUCAAAUUGUUUAAAAUCUGAACUAAUAUCCAGUUACUCGAAAUCUUAGACGAUUAUACUUCUACUCUAUGCGUUCUUUCACUCAUUGUCGAGUUAAUCGUCCAUUUUUUAAAAAUAUUUUAAGUUUAAAGAAAAUAUUAAGUGAUUGAUAAACAUCUUUUAUUUUAAUUUUACGUUGAAGUUGUUCGAAAAAGAUCAUUAAAGAUCCUUCUGCUUAUUGAAAUAGCGAUAGAAUUUGGAUAUGAAAUUAAGGUCAUUAAAUCAUUUGAAAGAUCACCUACGCUUCGGCAUUAGGCGAAAGUUGCCGGUUUCGAGGCAACGACCUCGCUAACAAAUAUUCGUAUUUCACAAAAAAAUGUGGGCGCCCACAUAAUCGCCAGUCAACUCGUUUAUCAAACAAGUAAUCGGAUCUCGUUCGUGAAUUAAAGAAAAUCAGUGAACACGAUGAUUCAAACGUUGUUUGCUUUCGAGUAUUUUCGCAUCCGUUUCGAUGUAAUUUAUAUAAUACGUUCCAUAAUUUUGAUUUUUCGUGAAAGAUAAUGCUGGUGUUGACAUUUCGUUAUUGCGUUUAUAAACGACAACAAUGUCUCUUUGAAUAUUUUAUAAUUAGUAUGAGAUUUUCUACGAACAUUUUAUUACACUCAUAGACCAUUUCUUGCGUUCGGUUCAUUGUGUUUUAUAAAAAAAAAUUGGUCAUAAAGAAUAAAAUGUACAAAAUAUAUUUUUGCAUUCAUACUUUUGUAACGGAUAUUUCAUUGAAUUAUGUGAAUUUUAUUCUUUAUCCUUUUAUAGCACUAUUGCUAUCAUUAUGGAGUUAUUAAUAAAUUUAUCAUUUAAUCGAUGUAGCUGAAUUUGUGUGAUCAGUGAUAAUUCUAAAAUAAAGGAAACGUUCAUCAUC